GAUUUGUUUUCCGAUAAUUCGGGUGUGCUCGGUUGCGAAAAGUGGCUGCCAUCGGCUAUCUUCGGCGGCGAUCGCCACAAGGAGGGAGUUCAACCCUGCCGGAGAGCAACAGAGAUAGAGGAGAGCAGUGUGACAUGGCGACGAUACGAAUGGAUUGAUGUUUUUCCUCGGAAAAUUCAUCCCUCAAACGACAUCACUAACAUGUUCAGGUCCCCCUGCGCUCGUCACAAAAUCUGCGGAACAGAAAAUAUUAAAAGACCUUAAAAUGUAAAAACGACUAUUGUUGUUAUUUUAUAGAAUUGUUCUUGGAACAAGAGAAAAAAAUACUUAUUUAUACAUUAUAGAUUGUUGAAAUAUUAGAUGACAAAUUCUAGAGGGUGAAUAUAUUCCUAACUAAGAAGUGAUUAUACAGGCAAAAUGGCUUCACAAAGGUUCUGCUUGAGGUGGAACAACCACCAAUCGAAUAUGUUGUCAGUAUUUGACCAACUACUUCACGCUGAGACCUUCACGGACGUUACUCUAGCAGUAGAUGGCCAGCUACUAAAAGCCCACAAAAUGGUACUAUCAGCCUGCAGUCCGUACUUUCAGGCUCUCUUCGUCAACCAUCAGGAAAAACAUCCGAUCGUCAUUUUAAAAGACGUUCCUUAUUCAGACAUGAAGAGUUUAUUAGAUUUCAUGUACCGAGGGGAAGUGAGCGUCGACCAAGAGCGAUUGACGGCAUUCUUAAAAGUAGCUGAAAGCUUGAGAAUAAAAGGACUCACUGAAGUAAACGAAGAAAAAUGUGAUAUCCCAGCUCUUACAAAUUCUUUAAUUCAACAACAGCAACAAACUUCUGCUCCCGCCCACACCCCUCCACCCCAACUUCACCGAAUACACCCUUACAUGCAACAAAAGAGACCAGCUUCAGGGAUGCCAACUGGUGGAGCUCCCCCAAAUUUAUUAAUGCCUUUGCUCGGAAAUGCUCUAAUGCAGCCUAAAAGAAAAAGAGGCAGGCCGAGAAAAUUAAGCGGCAGUUCAAGUGAUGCCCUGACCACCGCUGCGAGUCCACCGGGAGAGUUCAUACCCGAGUCAGCCUCCCACGCUGCUUCCAACAGGCCUGGUGAUCAGUUAAUUAGAGGAUCUCCAGAAAUGCUUGAAGUGAAAAUGUCUAUGGACGGUUUCAGUGCUGAGGACGGCGCAACAUCGGGGGGCGAGGAGGGCGGGGAGGCGCUGCUUAUCGACGAGGGCGACGACGCGCACUCCACGGACGCGCACGCGCAGAUGGCAGGGAAGGACUCGGAGUCUGCAGAUCCCGAAAAAGCGUCAAAAGGAGAAUUACACCAGAAUAAUAAUUCAACAAACGGACCGACCCUCUCUAUCGAAAAUGGAUCCAUUAAGCAGGAGCCGGCAGCCGACCUCACCGACGGCGACGGCUAUAACGAACCUAUCGAGUACAAGUACAACCCCGACAGGAGCCGCGAUAACUCUAACUCCAGGGAUGAUCCCAUUAAACACGCAGAUGACAAAAUCCCACUGGGCAGAAAUUUAAAGCCAAAGAAUAGUAAAAAACUACUACCCCAAAUGUCAAAAAUUAGAGCCCGAAACUUGUUCAAUCAGCUCUCCGGCCUUUCCAACCUCAACCCCGCUCUUAACAGUUUCGACAAAUUCGCACCCGAAACCGUGCUCAUGCCGGCUCUUGCCACGCAGCUGUUCGCCGCCGAGCUCGAGCAGAACACUCUGAGCCUCACCAACAACGAGGUGGCCGACCUCGCGCAAACUAACUGGGAACAUCGUAUAUUCCCUUCUCCUAUAAGGAAAAAUAAUAUGGCCAACUUGGCCAACUAUCAUGAGGAAACAAAUGAAUCCGUUAGGGAUUACUGCAUCAAAGAGGGAGAAAAUGUUUUCAGAUGCAAAAUUUGUUCUCGAGUUUAUACUCAUAUUAGUAACUUCUGUCGGCAUUACGUCACUUCGCACAAGAAGGACGUCAAAGUUUUUCCAUGCCCUAUUUGCUUUAAAGAGUUUACUAGAAAAGAUAAUAUGAUUGCGCAUCUAAAAAUAAUUCAUAAAAAUCAAUCAAACGCUAACGAGCAAAUGGCUAAACAGGAGUCUUAAAAGACGUGGCAAUAUUAUUUAUCAAACUCUUAAUUUUUCUAUUAUUAUUUGUUGGUAUACAAAGAUCUGAGUUGAGCACGAGCAGAGGGUGGAGUGCCUGGUCGCGCGGAUACAAGCGGACAUUAUUAUGAUUAAAGUUGCAUUGAGUAGGUUUUGAGAUCUAGUUUCAAAUAUAUACAUAAAUCUAUUUAACAGUAAGUUUGUUGAUGUAGGUCGAUGAAAGAGUUGUUAUAUUUAUUAUUAUUUUCAAAUUCAUUUCUCAGAGAACUAUCUUCUAAGAGGUUUAUGAAUGUUUCUACUUAUUUUACUUGUUAUUUCGCACUUAUGUACUUGUUACUUAAUUUUAUUACUUACAAAAUUUCAGGGUACAAAAUAAUUACUCAAGGUGAUCGUUUAUCAAAUGAUAAAUUUAAAUUAUCCUAGAUAACCGCAUAAUGAUGUGCUAACAUUAUUUGCAAUUCUCAUUGAACUGAAUUAGUGUAGGUUUCUUAGUUGUUUAUAUUGUUCGUUUAUUGAAGACGCGAAUAGAAUGGCGCGGUAGUAGUUAGUAGGUAUUUAUUAUGCGAUGAAGCGGCUCGUCCAGAAGAGGCUACCGAGCGGAGCCACCUACGCCGCGCUGCGGGAAGCCGCGGCGCCGGCGCCGGCGCCGGUAUCCGCUCGCCGUCCUGUACAAACUCUAGAGCGCAGAGUACUAGUGGUUUCAAUUAUAAAUUGCAUUUUCAUUUGACUUGCCUUAUUAGUGAUUUUAGAUGUAAAUAACAAUUUAACUUCUUCGAAGUAAAACUCAACACAGGCUAUGAUUUUUUGUCUAAGUAGGACUUGUUAAGAUUAUUUUAUAAUAGUUUAUUCAAUGUUGAAAGCUUUGGUUGUAAAUGUAAAUGUUAUUCAUUACAGAUACAUAUUAGAGAAAUUACUUACCUAUGUAUGAUGUGAAUGAGAAAAUCUUAAAAUAGAUUUUUAAAAUCUCAAUAACAGCGAAAUUUAGGUGGUAGACGUCACGUAGUUAAAGAUUCAGUUCCUGAAUAUUAAUUUAAGCUUUGAGCUAAGUACUUAAUGGCCCAAACAUUAGCUGCGCCUGCGACGCGACGCCACUGCGCGUGCGUCGACGGCCACGCGCAGCGCCGGUGUCGGCGCGGUAGGAACUCUCACUAUGUUUCAGUUAAGGACCAACUAGGUGCAUGCGUAGGUAACUAGUACCUACGUCUAGAAGAACAAGUUAUAAUUUGUGUACCUAUCGUUCAAUAUUUUAUCUUUCAAAGACAAUAUUAUGACGAAAAGAAAUAUAUGAGAAUUAUCUAGAUCAGUAAUUACACCGAUUCGCAGCCGUACAGAACUAAAUAUAAAAUACCAGAUGUUUUUAAUGUUAACCUGUAAAUAUUAUCAUUACAACAGAAGUUGUAAAUGUGAUCUAAAAGCAAGGUGCUUUGAAAGAAAUUAAUAAAUGACAGGAAUCAUGAGAUGAUUUGUAAAUUCUAUUUUAGUAGAAAUCAAAUGCCUUAAAUAUUUGAUAAGUAACAGUACUUAAAAUAUUUAAUAAAUCUAGAGGCAAAAUGUAGUCUUCCAUAUAUCGAUAGCGACACUUUAUCUCUAAUCAGUCAGUAAGUAAGUUGACAAUAUGUCGCUUACGACGAUGGUAUAUUAUUGUUCAAGAGAUGUGUAACUAUAGUAAGCCAAUAUCAGCCUUACUUAAACCCAUGUGCUGAUUAAAUUUGUGUGACACAAGACUGGAUAUUUAACGAGGUAGAAGUACCUUGGUAUCGAUGCCCUCGUACUUACAAACGUAGUUGUAGACUGGUAUCGGUGCCCUCUAGGGAAUGCUCCCGGUACUGGGUUUGUAUGGCGAGAACCGGGAAUUCCCGGUUCCGGUACUGUAUUUGUAUAGAAAACCAGUACUGGGAGCACGAGCACGCCCUCCUACAAACGUAGCUAGAGACGCGCCCGUCGCUGUCAUUCCUAACCACACACACACACACACACCCCACGCCGAUUAAAUAUUCACCAUAAUUCAAUUGAAACAUGGACUCGUGAAAUUAUUUAUAACUGCUUUAACUGCAUUUAAAUUCCUGCAUGGUUUCUUAAUUUACAUAUAAAGCUUAAAUGAAAAACUACGUUUGUAUGUUUAAGCGGAAUGGUGUAUAGUGUGGUGCAUGUCGGGUAUUUCUUUUGAUGAAAAAUUACAUGUUGAUUGCAUAGCGACUGCGUAUAUAUUUAAAAAGACUUUUCUAAUAUAUUCCACAGUGGUUGACAUCAGUGACAAAUUGCAUUUUCUACAAUCGCUUUAGCCAUAUUUUUAACCACUUGUUAAUUUUCAUAGUUUUAUUCAUAAUAUAUUUUUAACUGUACAUACAUGUUUAUUCUUAUAAAUUUUGUGUGAACUUUUUGUGUGUUUCACUCUUACUACUGCUUUAUUUAAUCUGCACGCCAAGCGAAUUAAUAAAGAUAUUUAUUUUCUCAAUUGAUUUAUUCUGCUCCAAACGAAAAUUUAACGCUCUGAUUCGUUCUUGAUUUUAUAUUCAAUAAUACGGUUCCCACGUUUCCAGUGCUAGCCGGCUUUUCUAUUCCUUAGGAGUUCAAACGUGUUAACUAUACUUGUUAAAUAAUAAACCGAAAACUUAUUUAUUAAUUAUAACAUAGCUUCCAAAUCUAUUUACUUUUCUUUACUUACAUUUCUGUAUGACCAUUAUGUAAAGCUUUUAUUUAUUCUUAAUCGAAUGUAUUUUUUGCUUGCCAUGCAACAUUGUCACUUAUGUCAACUGUGUUUGUGAUGCAUAAUAUAAUAAUGAAAGGCCGACAUGCACCGUGGUCUUUGUUGAUCAACCACUGCGAGGGUGUCGCGUGUCGUAACGUAACUGUUGUAAGGCUGCCAUGUCAUGUCACACAUUGUUGGCAGUUGAACCUUAAAUAUUAAAUACAAAUUACGUUUACCCUAAAAGUCGAGUUUCUAGUAACAUAAAGUAGGUCCACAAAACGCUUGCCUAUUAGUGUGCCUUUACUUGUACAUUAAAUAGUAAGUUAAAUAUUUAUUGACUAUAUUAGACUAUUAAGAAAUGUCAAAGAAUGUUAUGUAAAAUUAUUUAUUUAAAUUAUUCAGAGUUUACACUAUACUUUAAGAAGCUUCCAUAGGAAUUUAGAGACCAUUUAGGCCCAUGUAGAACAAAUAACGUUGUAUGUACUUAUCUAAUCAUAAGUAAUAUAUCAUCUCAUGUUUCCGACUUAAUUUGAAUAUCGAAAAUGUUAAAAGAUUUUCAAAUGAGCUACUUACCUAAAUUAUAAAAAAAGAGGCGACAAGUCUUGGUGAAAUCAAUAUUAAGACUGUAAAAAUUCUUAAAAACGAAUUUAAAUUACCUUUCAUAAGCUUUUAUACAAUUUAAACGGGGCAAUCUUUGAAAGGUACUUAAUGGGGAAAUUUAUAGGUACGUAGGGUGAGGCAAUCAAUGGACAUUAAAAUCUCAUACUUAAGUAGUCAACCAGUGCCUAAGCUUACAAACCUUAUUCGAAAUUUAUAUUAAGUAUCUAAUUUAUCGUUCUUGUCCUAAAUCGUUAAGAUUUUUUUAUUUUAUCAAUUAAAUAGAUUAAUAUUUACGACGUCGAUUGGAUGUUAUUUAUUACAUAUUAUAAUAUCAUCAAUUGGUGCUAAUUAUGCUUAAGAAAUGUUACAUCUGAUGUAACAUUCAAAAGAAAUUUCCGUAUAUUAUUUACGUAUAAAAUUAUUGUAUGUCUUUUUCGUUAAUGUUGUUAUUUUAAUGAGUAUAUCUCUUAUUUCAGUUGUCGAUAGGUUGCACUGGCUGCACAGUGCUAGAAAUGGGAUUUGGAUUUUAUCAAACGAGACCCGUUCGCAAGAACAGCUCGAUUCAGUCAUAAUGAUGUGUGUGAAUAUUUAAAUAACUACACUUGUAUUUAAUUACUCAGAACAAGUAGGUACUAGAAAACUUAGGUAAGACUAAAUCGCAGUACCUACCACUGUUGUUAGAUGACACAUAUUCGAUACUGUAAUGUUGAUUAUCACCUCCCUAAAACAAUAAUUACUUAGAAUUAUACAUAAACUUAAAAUUAUAAUCACUUACAUGAUUCAUAUGUUUAUUGACAUUAAACACUUACAAUAGGAUUCUUAAACUUAUCGGAAACUAACAAUGACGUUUCAUUCAAACACAAUAAGCUUAGAGUAGACGGCAUUCUACAGAGUACGUAUUGAGAAACAUAUUUACUGGAAUAAAUAUUCAAGUUAGAAAAAGCUCUCUAUCAAAAUGUGUGUAGUGUUCAUGCGAAUCGGUCGCUACAGAGUACGAUUAUAUUUAAUAUCUCCGUGUGUUCAGGGGGCCUAGCCAAGGUGACAAUGGUUCGCGCCGUAGCGGACGAAACGCUAAUGUACCUAUCUCUAUCAUUGAGAGAGUGGCGUUUCCUUCCUACGGGGGAAACGAUUCUCAUCUUGGUCAUCUUUGAACUUAUAGCAUCGUAAUGGAUUCAGUCGUCCAUUUUACGCGCGUGCUUGUUUUUUCCCGUAAAAGUGGAAGUUUCACAUUUUAAUUCCUAAUAUAAACAACCUACAUGAAACUAAAUAUUAAUUGAUACACCUGCGCAAUACCUGUGACGGCAUCUAGAGCGUUCUGUGCGUUCGUAGCGUACGUACCUAUAGGUAUUAGGUAUCAUUAAAAUUACAUAAUAAAUAAGUAUAUUAUGUAACGAUGUAAUUGGAUGAAAAUAUUAAUAACGAACUUGAUCAAAAUCCGUCCAAAUUGAUGUGUUAGAACGCCAUCAAUCAUCAUACUCAUAAAUCUCAUAAUGACAGAUAUUAUUCAUUGGUGAAUCAAUUUGUAAUUAUUUAUUCUUUUCUUUUCAAAAUAAUUGCGUAAAAAAGGAGUGUUGGGGCCGUUGGAUUUGUAGCUUAAAAAUAGUUAUAUCAUAUCAGGGUGCAAAGUUGUAUUUUACCCGCGAGUGUGGAAUUGAAACACGAGCAAGCGAAAGGAUUCUAUAGUUGAACCACGAGCGAAGCGAGUGGUUCUAAAAUAGAAUCCUGAGCGUAGCGAGUGUCUUAACACACGAGAAGUAAAAUACAUUUGCACCCGUGUGUAACACAAAACUUUUCCCGUCACUAUAGCGAGGGAAGUGCAACAUCCACAGGCGUUAGAUCAUCUUCAUCAACUGGACUCAAGUCAUUUUUUUUACGAUAUUAUAACAAAAAAACUCUGGAAAUUCUGUACUUUUACGUGAGAAGUUUUUAAGUAAAAAUUUUUUGACAAUGUUGACAUUUCUGACGUACGAAAUGUCAAUGAUGCGUUUUGAAAUUGCAUCGACUUAACUUGUGCGUUCAGAAUUAUAUUUAACAUAAUUAUUAAAAAACAAACGUUUUUUAUGGAAUUUUAAGGUUUAUGACUUAAGCUAAAUCUGGUAUUUUUUAUUAGAUUCUCAAACCAUUUAUUUAAUGAUAAUUAAUAUCGAACGAACCAUUAUUAUGAGCGUUUUUCGUUUUGUUAUCUGUCAAGCUACUUAAACACGCUCCAUCCAAAGUCAAAUUACUUUCCCCACUAGUGGAUAAAAUGCGUUUUUCCCCGCUUGUUUUAAAGGAUAAAAGACGGCUUUCCGAGCUAGUGAGGGGAAAAGUAAAUUACUUGUACCUAUAUUACAAUGAAACCUACUAAACAAUGUUUUUAAUAAUCUGAUUUAUAUAAUUUUCCGACUACGUGAAAGCGGUAUAAUUUUGGCAGUAUGUUUUUAUUUUUUGAUUCACUUAACCGAUAAAUAUGUUUCUCAAUUUGUAUGGGACACAGUUAACAUACGGCGUACUUACUAACCUACAGAAUACUUAAAUAUUAACUGUUCGUGAUAUAAAUUUACUUCACACAACUACAUACAUAUUAUGAUAAUCGUAGAAUUAGCCAAAAAUAAAUUUUAACAGUUUUUAUUAUUAUUUGCACUUAGACAAUAGCCAAUGCAAAGAGUAAUGUUUAGGACAUUUUAGAAUGAAAGUCACACGACAUAGCAUUGUUUGUUAAAAAAGGAAUAAAUAUAUAAGGUGUUAAUUACUAUUUUUAGAAUCUUUAAUGAAAGUAAUAAAGUUACAGCAAAAUGUAUGAAUUUUUUCAAUUAAUGUUAUUACUUUGUUUUGUUUCAUUUGUUGUUGUUAAUUUAAGUACCUCUUUAUUUUAAAAUUUUCAAUUUUGGUAAUAUCGAAAUAUACCUUAUUGUGAUUUUUCUUAAGAGUUCUUGUCGUAUAAGACAUGAAUUCACUGACUACAUUCACGCAUUAUUAUUGACUUAUGUGCACGUCUAUAAUUGAUAAAGUUUAUGUUUAGUGAAAGAUGUUUCAUGGGACGUGGCGGGUCCUUGGUACUGGUUGUAUUGUAGUGGAGUCGCGCGUACGCGUACAACGUGACACUGUUUCAGCAGGUUUGUUAAUUGUGAAACCUUAGUACCAUUUGAGCUGUUAGUUUUUUUUUGAAAACGGGCCGAUCGUCUCGUCAUCGGUUAUUUCGCAAUUACCUACCCUGCCCCACGUCGUGAUGUCUACUUCAACACCGACACGGACUUCUACAUGUCCUAAAUCGUUAUUGUUGUUAGCAAAGCAAACAAUAAUGAUUACUAUUUAAUAUUAUGUAGUAGCAAAGUAACAACACGGGUUAUUAGUAAAACAUAGAUUAAAAGUUAAGUUAUUUAUAUUAUAAUUAGAGGUAAAUAGUGCUGUUAAACAUUUGAGUGAAUUUCAAUACUUAGAAAGCUUUAUUAGUGAGGAAAGUUACGUAGAGAGGAGUGUUCAGGUAUGUGAUUACGUUGAUACUACUUCUACUCUCUGUUCGUAGCGGUGUGCGUGUGGCGGACCCUAGUGCUAGUGCUAAUGCUAGUGCUAGAUCACUUCAUUCAGUUCGCUUUCUAUGUUGCUCAAACUGACACUAUGUGACAAAAUAUUUUGUUUGAGUACAAAUUAUUGCUUUGUUUGUUUUUUGUUGAUCAUGUACGAGUAGAAAAUAUUGCAACUUUACCAUGAGGAUAAUUAUUCCCGCUCAUGUUUUGUCGAAGAUUAUAUUUUGAAUUAUAUUUCAUUACCAUAUACACUUACAGCGCAGCUAUUUUCUAGAGUGUGUAAGCUAACGCCAAUGGUACAAUUUAUAUUAUUUUUACAUCUUUGAGCCCACCUUAUGUGAUCUUAAGAACUAAGUUUACCGAAGUGUUAUUUUUAUACGACGUACAACUGUACUUGCCGAAAUAGUUCCAAAUGCAAACACUUGAGUCCUAUUAUAUCAUAGAGAAUCCUGUUCUUUUUUGUUAUAUCAUUAUUAAUUUAUUAUUUUAGAUUACGAUUAACUUAAAUAGAUUAGGCAGUUUGACUUUUUCGUAAGUUUAUUACAAUUUUCAAAUAUGUAUUCAGUGUUCUUAAUUUUGUUUUGGAUAUAAAAAUGUAUUGUUAGCCAUCAUCAUUUGUUGGACUGAUAUUUUUGUCAUCAAGUAGUACUGUUAGUUUUACUUGACAUGUUGUGACCCAUUGUUUGUUUUAUUUCCAAAUUUAUUUUUCAAUUGGUUGUAAGUAGUAUUUUUUUCGAGAGAGAUUGCAUGAACAAAUUUUCGACUUGAUACUGAACUAUACGUAUAAUCUAUUAAUUAUGUCAGUUUAAUUGAAAAGGUGCUAAAACAGUAACUAUAAGCAUAAAACUUGUUCAUGAAGUACUUAUAUUCGCUUAUGUUCAUGGUCUUCUUUUAUUAAAAACUUAUGGUAAUUAAUUUCGACAAUCAAUUUGAACAAAUAAAGGUUUAUAUAUUUUC
RNA transcript from Cydia strobilella, 9843 nucleotides. It is a transcript of the gene named protein tramtrack, alpha isoform-like, with no coding region annotated. The transcript has 4 exons. Lineage: Eukaryota; Metazoa; Arthropoda; Insecta; Lepidoptera; Tortricidae. The record is from RefSeq and is a predicted model, not a curated record.